GUAUGUUAAACGAGAAGACUUUAGAUAUGAUCCAGAGUACCACGGGACACGUGAAACCCUGUGGGAAGCAGGAGGGACCACCCUCCAAGGCUAAAUACUACCUAGGGACCGAUAGCGUAUAGUACCGGGAGGGAAAGGUGAAAAGAACCCCGGGAGGGGAGUGAAAUAGAACCUGAAACCCUGCACUUACAAGCUGUGGAAGCACAUUUCUUGUGUGACCGCGUACUUUUUGU
RNAcentral lists this ribosomal RNA (233 nucleotides) under Clostridioides difficile. RNAcentral's name for it is "partial 23S ribosomal RNA". It matches the Rfam family "Bacterial large subunit ribosomal RNA", at positions 375 to 611 of the family's 2925-position model. Lineage: Bacteria; Bacillati; Bacillota; Clostridia; Peptostreptococcales; Peptostreptococcaceae. The record is from RNAcentral.